This 92-nucleotide transfer RNA is filed under the name Bacillus subtilis. RNAcentral's name for it is "tRNA-Leu". The stretch from base 11 to 81 matches the Rfam family "tRNA", at positions 8 to 63 of the family's 71-position model. From Rfam's summary of the family: Transfer RNA (tRNA) molecules are approximately 80 nucleotides in length. Their secondary structure includes four short double-helical elements and three loops (D, anti-codon, and T loops). Lineage: Bacteria; Bacillati; Bacillota; Bacilli; Caryophanales; Bacillaceae. The record is from RNAcentral.
GCCUUCUUAUUNGUGGAAUUGGCAGACACACAGGACUUAAAAUCCUGCGGUAGGUGACUACCGUGCCGGUUCAAGUCCGGCCCUCGGCACCA